RNAcentral lists this ribosomal RNA (798 nucleotides) under Trichocomaceae sp. LM223. RNAcentral describes it as "SSU rRNA". It matches the Rfam family "Eukaryotic small subunit ribosomal RNA", at positions 31 to 837 of the family's 1831-position model. The record is from RNAcentral. Lineage: Eukaryota; Fungi; Ascomycota; Eurotiomycetes; Eurotiales; Trichocomaceae.
CUGGUCUCAAAGAUUAAGCCAUGCAUGUCUAAGUAUAAGCAACUUGUUACUGUGAAAACUGCGAAUGGCUCAUUAAAUCAGUUAUCGUUUAUUUGAUAGUACCUUACUACAUGGAUACCUGUGGUAAUUCUAGAGCUAAUACAUGCUAAAAACCCCGACUUCAGGAAGGGGUGUAUUUAUUAGAUAAAAAACCAACGCCCUUCGGGGCUCCUUGGUGAAUCAUAAUAACUUAACGAAUCGCAUGGCCUUGCGCCGGCGAUGGUUCAUUCAAAUUUCUGCCCUAUCAACUUUCGAUGGUAGGAUAGUGGCCUACCAUGGUGGCAACGGGUAACGGGGAAUUAGGGUUCGAUUCCGGAGAGGGAGCCUGAGAAACGGCUACCACAUCCAAGGAAGGCAGCAGGCGCGCAAAUUACCCAAUCCCGAUACGGGGAGGUAGUGACAAUAAAUACUGAUACGGGGCUCUUUUGGGUCUCGUAAUUGGAAUGAGAACAAUUUAAAUCCCUUAACGAGGAACAAUUGGAGGGCAAGUCUGGUGCCAGCACCCCCGGUAAUUCCAGCUCCAAUAGCGUAUAUUAAAGUUGUUGCAGUUAAAAAGCUCGUAGUUGAACCUUGGGUCUGGCUGGCCGGUCCCCCUCACCCCGAGUACUGGUCCGGCUGGACCUUUCCUUCUGGGGAACCUCAUGGCCUUCACUGGCUGUGGGGGGAACCAGGACUUUUACUGUGAAAAAAUUAAAUGUUCAAAGCAGGCCUUUGCUCGAAUACAUUACCAUGGGAAUAAUAAAAUAGGACGGGGGGUCC